Acipenser ruthenus (sterlet) is the source of this 1615-nucleotide long non-coding RNA. RefSeq lists it as uncharacterized. The transcript is spliced from 3 exons. NCBI's taxonomy places the organism in Eukaryota, Metazoa, Chordata, Actinopteri, Acipenseriformes, Acipenseridae. The record is from RefSeq and is a predicted model, not a curated record.
UUUUUACAGGGAGUUUUGCUUGGGCGUUGUCAAGUCUUUUGGAAAUAAGCUGACUCCGCCAAAGCCGCGCGGGUAAAGAACGGAUAACCAAUGAAAUGGUCCCUGUAGCGCUGAGGAGCGCAGACUCGUCUGUAGCAGGGGGAGGGACACCAAACACAGACCCACAGGCUGUGUGAGCACUGCAGACACGCGUGGAAGUCUCUUGACACAGGGGUUGUACCAACAGACUGGAAAAUAGCACACGUAAUACCGAUCCACAAAAAGGAAGACAAAACCGAACCAGAGAUGCAGACGGAGCGUGCAAAGAGGAUGGACUCUGCAGGAGAAGAAGCGUCCCUGAAUUCACCUGAGCUGCCCUGGAACCAGUAAGACCCCCGAUCCAGUAUUGUACUCCAGGGUUUCUUUUCUCUUAGCUUCAAUGUGUGCCCUUCUCGUCCUGCUCUCUGCGCUGAGUUUGAUGCGUCACUUUCUCCCCUUCUUGUCUUCUGUUCUGUUUCAAGUUUCUGCUCACUAUUGAACUUGUUUCAUUGGCACCGGAUCACAUCAGGCAGCCUGGGAGCAAACUGUCCCAGUGAGUGUCCGAGUCAUAAAUGUGCUGAACCCUGCGUGUGUGUUUAUAACCCUGUGUGUGUGUUUAGAACCCUGUGUGUUUAGAACCCUGCGUGUGUGUUUAGAACCCUGUGUGUAUGUUUAGAACCCUGCGUGUGUGUUUAGAACCCUGUGUGUUUAGAACCCUGCGUGUGUGUGUUUAUAACCCUGUGUGUGUGUUUAGAACCCUGCGUGUGUGUUUUUAACCCUGUGUGUCAUUUUUCUACUCUGCGUGUGCGUGGGAGUGUGUGUGUGUGUGUGUGUGUGUGUGUUUGUGUGUGUGUUUAUAACCUUGUUGCUCCCUGUGUGUGUGUGUGUGUGACAAAUGUUUGUUUUAUUUAUUUCUUAGCAGACGCCCUUAUCCAAACAAAAACACAUUUCAAGAAUCACAGUAUAAGUAUUUAUACAAUUAAGAGCAAGAUAAAAUACAAUCACUUAUAAGAGUAUGACAAAAUACAAUUCAAUAACGGAGCAGAUAAGUGUCACUGAUAGUUACAUCAGGAUACGAUUAAAUACAAAAUACUACAGAUUAAAUAACACUUGUGACAGAUUAGUCUCUAAAGUACAGAAUUUAAUGUAGUAAUAUAGGGAGCUGAGAAAAGCAAGUAAAGCACAUUUAAGGAGAAUUGAUAAGUGUCCAGAGCGAAAAGAGGAGUUCUACAGGUGCUGUCUGAAGAGGUGAGUCUUGAGGAGGUGCCGGAAGGUUUUUCCAGAAUUAUUUUUUCAGCUUUAAUUCCUAACGACAAAGAUUGAACUUACUUAAAAAUGCUGAGAGAUCGUGUAUUUCGGCUUGAUCUGUUAGUGAAAUGUUGGAUGAUGAGUGUAAAAUAAAGAUUGAAGUUCCAUGUAUUUUUUCAUGGAUUUAUUUGUUAGAUUCCCAGAUUUAACGUGUCAGCUAAAUGUUGACUCAACAAGUAUUUUUUUUUUUUUUAAAAAGACAAAACAUUUUUUCCAGAUUUAAUUGUCAUGUUGACUUUAAAUGUUGAAUUUGUUUUGCAUUUUCAAUAUUUAUAAAUUAUAACUGAAA